Homo sapiens (human) is the source of this 4387-nucleotide long non-coding RNA. NCBI's taxonomy places the organism in Eukaryota, Metazoa, Chordata, Mammalia, Primates, Hominidae. The record is from Ensembl.
AGAGGGACUCUGGCCUUGCAAGAGUCCCUAUUUCCCCCUUUUUUUUUGCUUUUCACACAGUAAAACCCUGCUUUACUUCCCUUUGAGUCGUCUGUGAGCCUAAAUUUUUGUGGCUGUGGGAAGGACAAGAACCCCAUCUUUAGCUGAAAUAAGGAAAAGUUCCGCAACAUUUUUGGCACACACCCUGGGGGCUCCGGAAGUGGAAUGCUGUCGGAACUGGACCUUGAUGAAGGAAAUACUUUCUGACUCAUUGGAAUUUGUUAUAGUCAAAAACCCUCAACCCUGCAUCCUACCAUCCUGGGCUUGCACUGCAAGUUACAUGAUCCCUGAGCUGACCACUUUGGCUUGAAUCCCUGGAAGGAGAAAGGAGAGAGAGAGCAACUAGUUCAGACACAAGCAUCUAGUUCAGCUUUGUUUGCCUAUGUGAUAACUUAGGUCUUCACGAUGGCCCAGAGUAAGACGACGCAGGAGGACCCUUCUAGUCAUUUAAUUAUUGCUUGACCAGAACUGUGCCUUGUAAGGUGUUUCCAGACCUAAGAAUAACAGGAACAUGGAGGAGUGGCAUCUCCAGUGUAGCCACCCACCAAAGCCUCAUCCUGAACACUAUGGCCUAGUGGGUCACUUACAGGGAUGUAGCUGGCAUUGAUGUAGUCAGAGCAAGGAUCAUCAUCUACAUUGGAGAGCUUCACUCGCGUGGCAUCAUCUGGAAGGAGAGAUUUGCUGCUGAGUCUUGGAGUGACUUUUCUACAGUUUAUGUGAUGUGUGUGAUGUGCCUUAGCUCUGAUCCCCACAACAGCCACAGAUGGGAAGUGAUCUUAUCUCCAUUUUGCAGAUGAGGCUCAGGCAGGAUAACUAACUUGCCCCAUGUUGCAUAGGUGGCCUAUAACCAGUCAGACACAGGAGACAACAUGAAGCCCCAUCUGUGCUUCCCUUUCUGACAUUACCACAUUUGCCUGAUGGAGUGGCCAGCUCCCUUUCACUGCUGGAAUGAAUACAAUCCAGAAAACCUACCUUCUAUUGCUUUACCUAAUGGGGUAAGGAAAUUUAAGUAGAAAUUGCUAACCGAAGACUUUGCUAAGCAAACCCAGGUCUGCUUGAUGUCAGAGCCCUUGCUGUUAACCCCAUUUACUGCUUAGCCUCCAAAGAGAAGCAAUAGCAUCACAUGGGGAAAUGUCAACAGCAUAAGAGGACUUUCAUAAUCAGAAUUUAAACUGGCUAUUAUCCCUCUGGAGGGAAGUGCAGGAAUAUACAAGCUAUUUCUUAUUAAAGGCAUUCAGAGCUUGAGAUUGUCCAUAUCGAGCUAUAUUAUAUUUCUUUAGCCUCAUUUCAUUUUUGGAGAAAAAUGCAGAAAUGGCUAGAGGAAGACAGUAUUACAAAUUUUGACACAAAACUUACAGGGCAAUAUAUUGUUGUAUCGAUUUUUCCCUCUAUUCUCCGGCAAGAGUGCAAUGUCACAUGACUGGUUUCGGCCCACGUCUUUUAACUCCUGUUAGGUCAAAUAUGAGUUUGUAAGUGGAGAAUAUGAAAUAGAAUAAAGCAAAUCAUACAGUCCUGGAGAUAACAUAAUAACAUGAAAAUAUAUACACUAGCUAUUGUUUAUGAAUGCCUAGUACUCAACAUGCAUUAGCCCUGAUCCCCACAACAGCCCCACAAGGGAGGUGGUGGUCUCACUAUUUUACAGGUGAGGCUCAGUCAGGAUAACUGAUGUGCCCCAGGUCACCCAAGUGGCAAACCUGAGAAUCAGUUCCAAAAGCUACGUGCUUUUUGCGAAACCACGGCAUCUUCCAGCCAAGCAAAUGGCCAGGCUGAAUAUCUGACAGCUUUAGGUCUGCAUUUGAGAUUUGUUAAUUCUUCCUUACUAUCUGAUCCAGGUAGCCCUUGGUUUGCUGUGUUAUUCUGGAGCUCAAGCUGGCCUCUAAGAUUAGAUGGUAUAUUCUAUUCAGGGCAUAGUUUAGGCAUAAAAGAGUGCUCAGCUGAGAUUCUAAGCAGCCUCCUAACUUCUGAGCUCAAUCAGCCUAUGAUGACACAGUAAACAUUAGGAAGGAAAUUCUGCUAAGAACUAGGGAUGCUGAAGCUUCAUUCUGCCUGAGUUGUACCUCGUAUUCCUUGGAUAGAAGGUAGUUGGAGUCAGCCUGUAGCUUCAUGAAAUGCCCUUCAAACUGAUUUAUUUUUAUUGGACUGUAAUUAAAAAUGAAACAAACAGAAAAGAGUUACUGCAGAAAAGGGAAAGUGCCAUAACUAUUCUGACUCAUAUUUCAAAGGCAGAUAAUAUAGUAAUUAAUGUGUUCUCUCUCUUACCAAGAAGUUUUCCGGUUACUGUGAAGAGAAGCCAAAAGAGGAAGACUUUGUUAGCAAAUUUCACAUAAUACCAUCUUUCAACAAAUUAUACGAAGGCAAAUGUGGUGCUUACCCUUUCUGGCCCAGGUUUAAGUGGACAGAUAAUGGUCGAUCCCUACGAAUGCUCAGACGGGCAGAGGGUCUUUCUCGACCAUGGCUGAAACAUAAGGGAGAUAACUUUUAUUCUGAUUAUGAUACUUGGCUUGAACAAAUUUUUCCAUUUAUGGUAAGGCUGUGGAUGUUUGUGCAAAUAUGGAUUUUUCAGUAUUCAUACAGAUUUGCACUCAGCCAACAUCUCUGAGGGAGGGAAAGGAAAGAGAAUAAAGUAGAUCAUUCCCACCCAGAAACGGAUCUCUGCAAAAACUGAAGAUUUGUCUCCUGGUUUUUGGCUACAGGUUAUAAUCACUUCCCACAUUCUCAAUAAAACUUUGCUUUAAAAAAAUCCAGUAAAUUUCAGAUGCCAGACACGACUUCAAUAAAGAGGAACAUGUGCCAAAUUAAGAAAAAAAAUUCACUAAGAGAAGAAGGCACGACACUUGGGGCCACAUGCUAUUUGGUUCUUUUUGGUCCCUUCUUAAAUUAGGAUGGCAGAUAUGAACUACAAAAUGGUGAUGUCAACCACACUUUUCAGGAUAUUUCAGAAAAGCACUUGGGCAUGCAAUUUGCAAACAUCUCUGUCUUCAUGAGGAUAUGAACCACACACACACACAAAAUAUUUUUUUCCUGUGCAAAAGGAGUCACUUCAUCUUUAAAUAAAGCUAUAGAUGGCCCCUCAGUCCUUUGGUAAGGGCUGAAUUCAUCAAUGGGAUAUAAAAGAGCUGAGAAAAGUGAGUCAUGGCUUUAGAGUUUGACUUGUUUUUAUUGAGAAAACAGUGACAAUUUAACCUGGAAAAAUUAAAUUAUUUUCCCUUCUUAGUUUUCAGCCUAAAGGGAAUUUUCAGUUGCAUUUUUAAAGUUGUGGGUCCAAUCACCAAAAGGAUCUUUGUACUUACCUCACUUUCUGUCUGCAGAUCAAUAAGGCAACAACAGCCACUAGCAUGCCAAUUAAAAACAGACCAGCACUCACACCUUCAAUAGCUCCAAACAAGGGCUCUACAAUAAUCCAGAUAGAAACAACAAACGCAGGUGGGAAAAUUAGUGCUAGGGAACCAGUAAGAAAGCUAUUGAAGCCAUAUCUCCCAAGUAAUGUUAUUACAAAUAGAAUUCAAGUGAUGCCCACGAUGAGGCAUUUACUUUCCAAAGGCUCUGAGUAUGCACCUAAGAAGAUGAUGAAAGGCUGGCUCCCACCCUGUAGCAGUGAGGCCAGGUGUCACUGCAUACUUUUGAAGUUAAUGUUGCAUAGCUUAUAGAGGAAUUUUGGACUUUGCACUUGUAUAUAAAGCUUGGGGCACCUGAGAUAAAGGCCAUAAGUUUGCCACCAAGAUAAAAAUGCCAUUUCAUUUAUAUAAAACAUGUUACACAGCAUCUGGGGCUUUGGAAAAUCCAGUGGAUUGCUUGGAGCUAUUCUAAGAAGUCUUAUUUUUAUUAUCUGGUAUGGUAACGCUACUGGGAGUUUAUGAAGAGGUAAGAGUGGCCUCAUUUUUAAAAUAGCUUUAUUGAAAUAUCAUUCAUAUAGCAUGCAACUCACCCAUCUAAGUUGUACAAUUCAGUGGUCUUUAGUAUAGUCAAAGUUUUGCAAAUGUCACCACAAUCAAUUUUAAAACAUUUUCAUCACCCUCAAAAGAAACCGCGUACCUAUUAGCAGUCAGUCCCACUCCUCCCUCCCCGCGAUCCCUGGCAACCACUAAUCUACUUUCUGUGUCUGUGGAUUUGCCUAUUCUGGAUGUUUCAUAGAAAUGAAAUCAUAAAUCUGUGAUCUUUUGGGACUGGCUCCUUUCAUUUAGCAUAAUGUUUUCAAGGUUCAUCCAUGUUAUAGCAUAUACCAAGAUUUCAUUCCUUUUUAUGGUUGAAUAAUCGUCCAUUGUAUGGAUAUAUCACAUUUUGUUUAUCCAUUGAUGGACAUUUAAAUUGCUUCUACUUUUUGGCGAUUAUGAAUAAUGCUGCUAUGAAC